AACGAACGCUGGCGGCAUGCCUAACACAUGCAAGUCGAACGAGAUCUUCGGGUCUAGUGGCGCACGGGUGCGUAACGCGUGGGAAUCUGCCCUUUGGUUCGGAAUAACAGUUGGAAACGACUGCUAAUACCGGAUGAUGACGAAGGUCCAAAGAUUUAUCGCCAGAGGAUGAGCCCGCGUAGGAUUAGGUAGUUGGUGGGGUAAAGGCCUACCAAGUCGACGAUCCUUAGCUGGUCUGAGAGGAUGAUCAGCCACACUGGGACUGAGACACGGCCCAGACUCCUACGGGAGGCAGCAGUGGGGAAUAUUGGACAAUGGGGGAAACCCUGAUCCAGCAAUGCCGCGUGAGUGAUGAAGGCCUUAGGGUUGUAAAGCUCUUUUACCCGGGAUGAUAAUGACAGUACCGGGAGAAUAAGCUCCGGCUAACUCCGUGCCAGCCGCCGCGGUAA
This 449-nucleotide ribosomal RNA is filed under the name uncultured bacterium. RNAcentral's name for it is "partial 16S ribosomal RNA". It matches the Rfam family "Bacterial small subunit ribosomal RNA", at positions 29 to 523 of the family's 1533-position model. The record is from RNAcentral.